AUGAAAAAGGGCAAUAAUCCAAAUUUAUUACCGUAUGGUGGAAGUGAUCCUUUAAAGGUCAUGGGUCAUUGUCAGCUGAGUGUCGAGACAAAAAGUACUAUUGACUGUGACACUUUCUAUGUAGUUGAAGGAAAUCAUGGAGCUUUAUUAGGAUAUCCACUUGCAAGCAAGCUAGGGCUUGUGAAGAUAAUAAACCAAAUUACAGAUCCUAAAGAAAAAUAUCCAAAAUUAUUUCAAGGCAUAGGCAAAUACAAGGGAAAACCAAUCAAAUUGCACAUCAAUGAAGAUGUGAAACCAGUAGCGCAGAGACACCGCAGGACACCAUUUCACCUUCGUGAUAAGGUUGAAAAAGAACUUGUGAAAUUGCAAGAGCAAGAUAUCAUUGAGAAAAUAGAAGAUACACCUACACCUUGGGUAUCACCGAUAGUGACCCCACCCAAGAAAAACCCAGACGAAAUUAGACUGUGUGUUGACAUGCGUCAGCCAAAUAAAGCUAUAUCUCGUGAACGUCAUCUUUUACCAACUAUUGAUGAACUUAUACAUGACUUAACUGGAGCAAAACUCUUCACAAAGCUGGACCUACGGUCAGGAUAUCACCAGCUGGAACUCCAUCCUUCGUCCCGUUAUAUAACAACAUUUAGUACACAUGCAGGUCUAUUUCGCUACAAACGUCUCAAUUUUGGCAUAUCAUCAGCGUCAGAAAUUUUCCAAGAAGUAAUACGCAAUGUUAUAAGUGGCAUACCUGGAGUUAAAAACAUUUCAGACGACAUAAUCAUUUAUGGUAGAUCACAGGCAGAACAUGAUAAAGCAUUAGAUGCCACAUUCAAGAGGUUACUUGAAAAUGGACUAACUUUAAAUCUUGAAAAGUGUGAGUUCAAUAAAGAUCAAGUAGUGUUUUUCGGGGUUACAUUUUCGAAAGAAGGCAUUUCGCCAGAUCCAAAGAAGGUUAGCGCAAUCAAAGACAUGUCUCCACCGAAAAAUGUACCAGAACUACGUAGCUUUCUAGGUAUGACUACAUACUCAUCUAGAUUCAUACAGAAUUAUGCAACAUUAUGCGAGCCGUUAAGAAGACUAACACGUCAAGAUACAAACUGGAACUGGGGCUCCGAACAAGAAGCAGCUUUCGAAAAGUUAAAAUGUGAACUAUCUAGUGACACUGUAAUAACAUAUUUUAAUCCAAAACAUGAGAUUGAUAUUUUAGUAGAUGCCAGUCCUGUCGGCCUUGGGGCAAUAAUGUCACAAGAAGGAAAGACUGUAGCUUAUGCAAGCAGGAGUCUUACUGACACAGAAACAAGGUACAGCCAAACUGAAAGGGAAGCUCUCGCUAUUGUUUGGGCAUGUGAACACUUUGAUAUGUACAUAAGAGGUGCACCAAACGUGAACAUUAUAACAGAUCACAAGCCACUAGAGCGUAUUUGGCAGAAACCAAAGCCACCACUGAGAAUUGAACGUUGGGGUUUGAGAUUACAACCUUACAAACUUAAGAUAACAUAUCAACCAGGAAGUGAAAAUCCUGCAGAUUUUAUGUCAAGACAUCCAUCAGACAACCCUGUCAAAUCCCGGGAACAAUCUAUAGCAGAACAGUAUGUGAGAUUUGUUAUGUCUGAAGCAGUCCCUCGUGCAAUGACACUUGAUGAAGUUAAAAUGGCUUCUUCAAAGGAUAAAACUAUUCAAAAGGCAAUAGAAUUCGUAAGAACUGGACAAUGGUUUAAAAUCAAAAACAUAACAGAUCUGGAAAUUGACAUUGAGGAAUUACAAGCAUUAAGGAGCAUCAGUGGUGAACUUGUAACCUAUGGUGACACUAUUUUACUCAGAGACAAUCGUAUUGUACUCCCAUCUGAACUCCGUGUGCGAGCUGUUAACAUUGCGCAUGAAGGUCAUCAGGGUAUCACCAAAACUAAAGCAUUCUUACGUUCCAAGAUAUGGUUUCCAGGACUUAACGACAGAGUUGAUAAUGCAAUUAAAGACUGUUCAGCAUGUCAAUCUGUUACACACACCAAAAGAAUUGAACCGUUAAGAAUGUCUGAAUUGCCAGAAAAGCCAUGGACAAAUUUGAGUGCUGAUUUUUGUGGUCCAUUACCUAGCGGAGACCUCUUAUUCGUUAUUACAGAUGAAUAUUCACGUUAUCCAGUAGUUGAAGUAAUUAAAUCGGACUCUGCUUCAACUGUUGUUCCUGUUUUGGACAAAGUUAUUUCUACUUUCGGAAUUCCUAAAGUAAUCAAAACAGAUAAUGGUCCUCCGUUUAACUCUCAUGCAUUCAGACAAUAUGCUGAGAAUACUGGAUUUGAACAUCGCCGUGUAACACCAUUAUGGCCGCGUGCCAAUGCCCAGGCCGAAUCAUUUAAUAAACCAAUGAUGAAGACAAUUAAAGCAGCUCAUGUGGAAAGAAAAAGCUGGAAACAAGAACUAUUUAAAUUUCUCAGACAAUUUAGAGCAACUCCACACACAAGCACAGGUUACCCGCCGUUUCAGUUAUUAUUCAACAGGGAACCAGUAACGAAACUUCCACAAGUGCACAAACCUAACAUUACCAACAAACAAAUGGAUGAAAAUGCACGACAAAAAAUGAUGAAAGUGAAAAAUGCAAAAUGA
This 2592-nucleotide small RNA is filed under the name Mytilus galloprovincialis (Mediterranean mussel). The record is from RNAcentral. Lineage: Eukaryota; Metazoa; Mollusca; Bivalvia; Mytilida; Mytilidae.